RNAcentral lists this ribosomal RNA (581 nucleotides) under uncultured Acinetobacter sp. Its description in RNAcentral is "bacterial SSU rRNA". It matches the Rfam family "Bacterial small subunit ribosomal RNA", at positions 74 to 650 of the family's 1533-position model. Lineage: Bacteria; Pseudomonadati; Pseudomonadota; Gammaproteobacteria; Moraxellales; Moraxellaceae. The record is from RNAcentral.
GGUAGCUUGCUACUGGACCUAGCGGCGGACGGGUGAGUAAUACUUAGGAAUCUGCCUAUUAGUGGGGGACAACGUUCCGAAAGGAGCGCUAAUACCGCAUACGCCCUACGGGGGAAAGCAGGGGAUCUUCGGACCUUGCGCUAAUAGAUGAGCCUAAGUCGGAUUAGCUAGUUGGUGGGGUAAAGGCCUACCAAGGCGACGAUCUGUAGCGGGUUUGAGAGGAUGAUCCGCCACACUGGGACUGAGACACGGCCCAGACUCCUACGGGAGGCAGCAGUGGGGAAUAUUGGACAAUGGGCGCAAGCCUGAUCCAGCCAUGCCGCGUGUGUGAAGAAGGCCUUAUGGUUGUAAAGCACUUUAAGCGAGGAGGAGGCUUACCUAGCUAAUACCUAGGAUAAGUGGACGUUACUCGCAGAAUAAGCACCGGCUAACUCUGUGCCAGCAGCCGCGGUAAUACAGAGGGUGCAAGCGUUAAUCGGAAUUACUGGGCGUAAAGCGCGCGUAGGUGGCCAUUUAAGUCAAAUGUGAAAUCCCCGAGCUUAACUUGGGAAUUGCAUUCGAUACUGGAUGGCUAGAGUAUA